UAAGACGAACCGUGCGAACGUUGUUCGGAAUCACUGGGCUUAAAGGGCGCGUAGGCGGCUUGCCAAGUCAGGGGUGAAAUCUUUCGGCUUAACCGGAAAAGUGCCUUUGAUACUGGCAGGCUAGAGCGAGGUAGGGGCAUGUGGAACUUCCGGUGGAGCGGUGAAAUGCGUUGAUAUCGGAAGGAACGCCGGUGGCGAAAGCGACGUGCUGGACCUUUUCUGACGCUGAGGCGCGAAAGCCAGGGGAGCAAACGGGAUUAGAUACCCCGGUAGUCCUGGCCCUAAACGAUGGGUACUAGGUUGUGGACUUGACAUGGGUUCACAGCCGAAGCAAAAGUUUUAAGUACCCCGCCUGGGGAGUAUGGUCGCAAGGCUG
Molecule: ribosomal RNA, 376 nt
Filed under: uncultured bacterium
Lineage: Bacteria
Description: bacterial SSU rRNA
Rfam family: Bacterial small subunit ribosomal RNA
Source: RNAcentral